GAAUUUUAAUCUAAUCAUGCGAAACGCCUACUUUGUUUAUUCUCAACUCUGUUGGACCGUUGAUAAUGUUAGCCACUUAGGAGUAGAUCUUCCUAAAGCUCUUAUGUAAAUAUCUAUGCUUAUUAAUUUUUAAUUGGAGAAAACAUGUAUUCAGUUGUGUAUUGAAAAGGAAACACACGUAUUAUCAGAUAAGAGUGUCACCAAUUAUUGAACUUCUGAUAUUUGUCUGAGGUGGUGACUCUCCAAUCUCCAUUACUUGUAACAUUGGCAUUUUCGAAAGCAUCUCGCCCUAUUUUCCGGGCAUGGGUCGCAUUCCAUCUGCUAUGCCGCACCUGGUUUGCAGCAAUUUCGUGUUUCUCGCUCUCACAAGGUAUACAAUGGAAAGUGAAAUCUUCACACAUGCAAUAUAUACGUUCCAAAAGAAUUUCAAACUUCAAUUUGUGUAAGCUAAACUACAUCACAUAAAUUGAGACGGCGGCUAGUCAGCUUCAACCUUUCUGGCAUGGGUUACACUGCUAGUAAUCUCUCAGUUGCACCAAUUUUGAGCUAGUCAGGCCUCCUCAGAGUUGACAGAGAUUCCUUCGUUUUUAUUCUCAGCGUGGAAAUUGGAACCCGCUGUUAAGCUUGUCAAGGUAAAGCUAAAUCCAUGCUUCACAUCUGCUGCUUGUUUUUGAAUGGGAAAAAUAGGAAUUUCACUAUUAAACAGGAGUGCAUGAAGGUAAAAGAAAGUGUAACUACUAUAGAUGCGUUUUAUGAUGUCAUCUCCGUGAAAAUAAAGAAUUCCAACAAAUUUCAGUCACUGCAUUUUAGUUGUGUGUAAAUUAAAUGAAAAUUUUAUGUAGGUAAAACUCAUGUUAGUACUACGAAAUUUCUACAUAGCAGGAAUCUGUAAUGCUCUGUAAUUUGUGUAUUAAAUGAGAUAUCUGCAACUGCAAGGAUUUCAUUACAUUAUCAA
Lycium ferocissimum is the source of this 955-nucleotide long non-coding RNA. RefSeq lists it as uncharacterized. The record is from RefSeq and is a predicted model, not a curated record. NCBI's taxonomy places the organism in Eukaryota, Viridiplantae, Streptophyta, Magnoliopsida, Solanales, Solanaceae. The transcript has 2 exons.